AAAACCGAACCCUGAUUUAAAUGUAUAUUGUUAAAAUUUUGAUGUAUUUGAAUUACAUGUAGAUAUUUAUUACAGGCAAUCUGGUAUCAUCUUAGUAUAUGGGGCCAAAAUAGCUUGACCGGUAAGGUAUUGGACCCAUGUCCAAGUGGUCACGAGUUUGAACCCCGCUGGCAGAAGACUCCCUGUGUACAAAAUGGUGACUGGUUCUGGCUAAAUCUGUCCGUGUCAUGAAGUCCUCCAAGUAACAAAUCAAUACCUCUGAGGGUACUGGAUCUGACAUUGAUCAUGCUCUGAUUCAGGUCAAAAUUGUGACCUGCAGCUGGAUGGAUGGUACAUAAAAGUGUCCUUCCUGUAAAACAGGAUGUGACAUAUGUGUGCUGUCUCUGGUUCAUCCUCAGGGGUGUUUCCCUACCGUCGCCAAUAGCCUAUUGUACUGCUCUUGUGCGACAUAAAUUAAAAUCCAUCUUUGUCUGAUACUACAAUUCAUAAAAAUGUUGGUGAGGGUACUAACCUAGGGAUAACUGAAGAACUUCAAAGGAACAGAGAGUUUUACAAGAUUUCUGAAGACAAACCACCCUUUACCUAUGCAUCAUUAAUAGGACAGGCUAUAUAUGAAUCUCCAGACAAGCAGCUUACACUUAAUGACAUCUACAACUGGUUUAUUAGCUCCUUUGGUUAUUUCAAGCCAAAUGAUGCAAAGUGGAAGGUAUGAAGU
Molecule: unclassified non-coding RNA, 715 nt
Organism: Parasteatoda tepidariorum (common house spider)
Lineage: Eukaryota; Metazoa; Arthropoda; Arachnida; Araneae; Theridiidae
Source: RefSeq, a predicted model, not a curated record